AUGACAUGUGUUAAAUCAGUAAGAUACUCGGUAAAAUUCAAUGGGAAACUUUUGGAGGUGUUUACCCCUUCUAGGGGACUUCGACAAGGUGACCCACUAUCCUCGUUUUUAUUCCUAUUUAUUGCUGAUGCCUUGUCUGCCCUGAUCUCUAAAUCAGUGGACGAGGGGAAUUUGAAGGGGGUGAGUAUUUGUCGUGGUGCGCCGAUCAUAUCUCACCUCCUGUUUGCGGAUGACACUAUGCUGUUUUUCGAAGCUUCAGGCGAACAAGCAAAUAUUGUAAAAGGUCUGUUGAACACUUAUUCCUCGGCGACGGGUCAACUCAUUAACCCCGAGAAGUGUUCCAUUUUUUUCCGGACAAUUGCAAUGAGCCGGUGGCGGAAGAGGUGA
Molecule: ribosomal RNA, 387 nt
Filed under: Triticum aestivum (bread wheat)
Lineage: Eukaryota; Viridiplantae; Streptophyta; Magnoliopsida; Poales; Poaceae
Description: partial small subunit ribosomal RNA
Source: RNAcentral